This 423-nucleotide ribosomal RNA is filed under the name uncultured bacterium. RNAcentral describes it as "bacterial SSU rRNA". It matches the Rfam family "Bacterial small subunit ribosomal RNA", at positions 355 to 776 of the family's 1533-position model. The record is from RNAcentral.
UAGGGAAUAUUGGGCAAUGGAGGCAACUCUGACCCAGCCAUGCCGCGUGCAGGAUGAAGGCGUUAUGCGUUGUAAACUGCUUUUAUAUAGGAAGAAAUAGACCUUGCGAGGUAAGUUGACGGUACUAUAUGAAUAAGCACCGGCUAACUCCGUGCCAGCAGCCGCGGUAAUACGGAGGGUGCAAGCGUUGUCCGGAUUUAUUGGGUUUAAAGGGUGCGUAGGCGGUUUAUUAAGUCAGUGGUGAAAGACGGUCGCUCAACGAUUGCAGUGCCAUUGAUACUGGUAGACUUGAGUGAGAUUGAGGUAGCUGGAAUGGAUAGUGUAGCGGUGAAAUGCAUAGAUAUUAUCCAGAACACCAAUUGCGUAGGCAAGUUACUAAGUCUCAACUGACGCUGAGGCACGAAAGUGUGGGUAUCAAACAGG